AACGAACGCUGGCGGCAUGCCUAACACAUGCAAGUCGAACGAAGGCUUCGGCCUUAGUGGCGCACGGGUGCGUAACGCGUGGGAAUCUGCCCUUUGCUUCGGAAUAACAGUUAGAAAUGACUGCUAAUACCGGAUGAUGUCGCAAGACCAAAGAUUUAUCGGCAAAGGAUGAGCCCGCGUAGGAUUAGCUAGUUGGUGGGGUAAAGGCCUACCAAGGCGACGAUCCUUAGCUGGUCUGAGAGGAUGAUCAGCCACACUGGGACUGAGACACGGCCCAGACUCCUACGGGAGGCAGCAGUGGGGAAUAUUGGAAAAUGGGCGAAAGCCUGAUCCAGCAAUGCCGCGUGAGUGAUGAAGGCCUUAGGGUUGUAAAGCUCUUUUACCCGGGAUGAUAAUGACAGUACCGGGAGAAUAAGCACCGGCUAACUCCGUG
RNAcentral lists this ribosomal RNA (433 nucleotides) under uncultured bacterium. Its description in RNAcentral is "partial 16S ribosomal RNA". It matches the Rfam family "Bacterial small subunit ribosomal RNA", at positions 29 to 507 of the family's 1533-position model. The record is from RNAcentral.